GCGUUGGUGGUAUAGCGGUUAGAAUAGUUGCCUUCCAAGCAAUUGACCCGGGUUCAACUCCCGGCCAACGCA
RNAcentral lists this transfer RNA (72 nucleotides) under Patiria miniata (bat star). RNAcentral describes it as "tRNA-Gly". It matches the Rfam family "tRNA". Rfam says of the family: Transfer RNA (tRNA) molecules are approximately 80 nucleotides in length. Their secondary structure includes four short double-helical elements and three loops (D, anti-codon, and T loops). RNAcentral also lists the same sequence under 1 other name. Lineage: Eukaryota; Metazoa; Echinodermata; Asteroidea; Valvatida; Asterinidae. The record is from Rfam by way of RNAcentral.